This 469-nucleotide ribosomal RNA is filed under the name uncultured bacterium. RNAcentral's name for it is "partial 16S ribosomal RNA". It matches the Rfam family "Bacterial small subunit ribosomal RNA", at positions 28 to 507 of the family's 1533-position model. The record is from RNAcentral.
GACGAACGCUGGCGGCGUGCUUAACACAUGCAAGUCGAACGGAAAGGCCCUGCUUGCAGGGUGCUCGAGUGGCGAACGGGUGAGUAACACGUGGGUGAUCUGCCCCUUACUUUGGGAUAAGCCUGGGAAACUGGGUCUAAUACUGGAUAGGACCAUGCUGUAGGUGGUGUGGUGGAAAGAUUAGUUUCGGUAAGGGAUGAGCUCGCGGCCUAUCAGCUUGUUGGUGGGGGAAUGGCCUACCAAGGCGUCGACGGGUAGCCGGCCUGAGAGGGUGGGAGGCCACAUUGGGACUGAGAUACGGGCCAGCCUCCUACGGGCGGCAGCAGUGGGGGAUAUUGCACAAUGGGCGCACGCCUGAUGCAGCGACGCCGCGUGGGGGAUGACGGCCUUCGGGUUGUAAACUCCUUUCAGCCAUGACGAAGCCCUUGUGGUGACGGUAGUGGUAGAAGAAGCACCGGCUAACUACGUG